GCAGAAUUAGCUCAGCUGGGAGAGCACCUGCCUUACAAGCAGGGGGUCGGCGGUUCGAUCCCGUCAUUCUGCA
This 73-nucleotide transfer RNA is filed under the name Dolosicoccus paucivorans. It matches the Rfam family "tRNA". From Rfam's summary of the family: Transfer RNA (tRNA) molecules are approximately 80 nucleotides in length. Lineage: Bacteria; Bacillati; Bacillota; Bacilli; Lactobacillales; Aerococcaceae. The record is from Rfam by way of RNAcentral.